Acanthosepion pharaonis is the source of this 112-nucleotide non-coding RNA. NCBI's taxonomy places the organism in Eukaryota, Metazoa, Mollusca, Cephalopoda, Sepiida, Sepiidae. The record is from the annotation of a GenBank genome assembly.
UCGGGCAUAUCACGUUCAAACACCGGGUCUCGUAAGAUCACCGAAGUUAAGCAACAUUGAGCCUGCUCAGUACCUAAAUGAAUGACCGCUUGGGAACGCCUGGUGUUGUAAG